UACGGAGGAUCCAAGCGUUAUCCGGAUUUAUUGGGUUUAAAGGGUGCGUAGGCGGAUUGAUAAGUUAGAGGUGAAAUGUCCGAGCUCAACUCGGGAACUGCCUCUAAUACUGUUGAUCUAGAGAGUAGAUGCGGUAGGCGGAAUGUAUGGUGUAGCGGUGAAAUGCUUAGAGAUCAUACAGAACACCGAUUGCGAAGGCAGCUUACCAGUCUAUAUCUGACGUUGAGGCACGAAAGCGUGGGGAGCGAACAGG
This 253-nucleotide ribosomal RNA is filed under the name uncultured bacterium. RNAcentral's name for it is "partial 16S ribosomal RNA". It matches the Rfam family "Bacterial small subunit ribosomal RNA", at positions 524 to 776 of the family's 1533-position model. The record is from RNAcentral.